Molecule: ribosomal RNA, 458 nt
Filed under: uncultured bacterium
Lineage: Bacteria
Description: partial 16S ribosomal RNA
Rfam family: Bacterial small subunit ribosomal RNA
Source: RNAcentral
CCUACGGGAGGCAGCAGGGGGGAAUAUUGCACAAUGGGGGAAACCCUGAUGCAGCGACGCCGCGUGAGUGAAGAAGUAUUUCGGUAUGUAAAGCUCUAUCAGCAGGGAAGAAAUAGCGACCUUUGGGUCGCCAGACGGUACCUGACUAAGAAGCCCCGGCUAACUACGUGCCAGCAGCCGCGGUAAUACGUGGGGGGCAAGCGUUAUCCGGAUUUACUGGGUGUAAAGGGAGCGUAGACGGCAGCACAAGUCUGAAGUGAAAUGCCGGGGCUUAACCCCGGAACUGCUUUUGAAACUGUGCAGCUAGAGUGCAGGAGAGGUAAGUGGAAUGCCUAGUGUAGCGGUGAAAUGCGUAGAUAUUAGGAGGAACACCAGUGGCGAAGGCGGCUUACUGGACUGUAACUGACGUUGAGGCUCGAAAGCGUGGGGAGCAAACAGGAUUAGAUACCCCAGUAGUC